RNAcentral lists this transfer RNA (85 nucleotides) under Pyramimonas parkeae. Its description in RNAcentral is "tRNA-Ser". It matches the Rfam family "tRNA". From Rfam's summary of the family: Transfer RNA (tRNA) molecules are approximately 80 nucleotides in length. Their secondary structure includes four short double-helical elements and three loops (D, anti-codon, and T loops). Lineage: Eukaryota; Viridiplantae; Chlorophyta; Pyramimonadophyceae; Pyramimonadales; Pyramimonadaceae. The record is from RNAcentral.
GGAGAAGUGUCUGAGUGGCCGAAAGAGCUCGAUUGCUAAUCGAGUGUACGUACGCGUACCGAGGGUUCGAAUCCCUCCUUCUCCG